UAAAGAUCAAAUCUAACAUAAGAUAAAAUAAAAUAAAUAAUGAGGGAUGAAAUUGAUUUUUUUUUUAAUAACAAUAAAAAGAACAAGGAUCAAAUUUGAUAUAAAAAAUUAAAUAGAAUCAAGUGCUAAAUGAUGAAAUUGAAGAGAAAAGAAAAUAAUUCAAAAGAAAUAUAAAAAAAACAAUAAAAAAAUGAAGUCUACAAUUAAAAUAAAAA
RNAcentral lists this long non-coding RNA (215 nucleotides) under Populus trichocarpa (black cottonwood). Its description in RNAcentral is "long non-coding RNA (PTRI_LNC000975)". The record is from RNAcentral. Lineage: Eukaryota; Viridiplantae; Streptophyta; Magnoliopsida; Malpighiales; Salicaceae.